GAGGAAUUUUGCGCAAUGGGGGAAACCCUGACGCAGCAACGCCGCGUGGGUGAUGAAGGCCUUCGGGUCGUAAAGCCCUGUCGGGUGGGAAGAAUGUCCUGGGGAUGAAAAAGCCUUGGGAGUGACGGUACCACCAGAGGAAGCACCGGCUAACUCCGUGCCAGCAGCCGCGGUAAUACGGAGGGUGCGAGCGUUAUUCGGAAUUACUGGGCGUAAAGCGCGUGUAGGCGGCUUGACAAGUCUGAUGUGAAAGCCCUGGGCUCAACCUGGGAAGUGCAUUGGAAACUGUCAGGCUUGAGUACCGGAGAGGAUGGGGGAAUUCCCGGUGUAGAGGUGAAAUUCGUAGAGAUCGGGAGGAAUACCAGCGGCGAAGGCGCCCAUCUGGACGGUAACUGACGCUGAGACGCGAAAGCGUGGGGAGCAAAC
Molecule: ribosomal RNA, 426 nt
Filed under: uncultured bacterium
Lineage: Bacteria
Description: bacterial SSU rRNA
Rfam family: Bacterial small subunit ribosomal RNA
Source: RNAcentral